Molecule: unclassified non-coding RNA, 162 nt
Organism: Pongo abelii (Sumatran orangutan)
Lineage: Eukaryota; Metazoa; Chordata; Mammalia; Primates; Hominidae
Rfam family: Metazoan signal recognition particle RNA
About the family: The signal recognition particle (SRP) is a universally conserved ribonucleoprotein.
Source: Ensembl
GCUGGGCAUGGUGGUGCGUGCCUGUAAUCCCAGCUACUAGGGAGGCUGAGGCAGGAGAAUCACUUGAACACAGGAGACGGAGGUUGCAGUGAGCUGAGAUCGAGACACUGUACUCCUACCACUGCACUCCAGCCUGGGUGACAGAGUGAGACUCUGCCUCAA